GGUUUUGUAGUGGAAAAUAAGACGUCAGACUGCAAUUCUGAAGAUGCGUGAAACGCCGGAACUU
This 64-nucleotide transfer RNA is filed under the name Trachypenaeus curvirostris. RNAcentral's name for it is "tRNA-Cys". RNAcentral also lists the same sequence under 1 other name. The record is from RNAcentral. Lineage: Eukaryota; Metazoa; Arthropoda; Malacostraca; Decapoda; Penaeidae.